This 72-nucleotide transfer RNA is filed under the name Camelus bactrianus (Bactrian camel). It matches the Rfam family "tRNA". Rfam says of the family: Transfer RNA (tRNA) molecules are approximately 80 nucleotides in length. RNAcentral also lists the same sequence under 2 other names. Lineage: Eukaryota; Metazoa; Chordata; Mammalia; Artiodactyla; Camelidae. The record is from Rfam by way of RNAcentral.
GUGGGUAUAGCUCAGUGGUGAGGCCCAUGCUUAGCAUGUAAGAGGUGCUGGGUUCAAUCCCCAGUACCUCCA